GAUGAACGCUGGCGGCGUGCCUAAUACAUGCAAGUCGAGCGAACAGAUGAGGAGCUUGCUCCUCUGACGUUAGCGGCGGACGGGUGAGUAACACGUGGAUAACCUACCUAUAAGACUGGGAUAACUUCGGGAAACCGGAGCUAAUACCGGAUAAUAUAUUGAACCGCAUGGUUCAAUAGUGAAAGACGGUUUUGCUGUCACUUAUAGAUGGAUCCGCGCCGCAUUAGCUAGUUGGUAAGGUAACGGCUUACCAAGGCAACGAUGCGUAGCCGACCUGAGAGGUGGACCGGCCCACUGGAACAUGAGCACCGGUCCAGCCCCCAAGGGAAGGAACAAGUAGGAAUCCUUCGGCAAUGGGGGAAGCCUUGACGGACCACCGCGGCGGGAGUGAUGAAGGUCUUCGGACCGUAAAACCCUGUUAUUAGGGAAGAACAAAUGGGUAAGUAACAAUGCCCGCCUGGACGGAACCUAAUCAGAAAGCCCCGCCUACCUCCGU
Molecule: ribosomal RNA, 496 nt
Filed under: uncultured bacterium
Lineage: Bacteria
Description: partial 16S ribosomal RNA
Rfam family: Bacterial small subunit ribosomal RNA
Source: RNAcentral